Molecule: long non-coding RNA, 1251 nt
Organism: Lates calcarifer (barramundi perch)
Lineage: Eukaryota; Metazoa; Chordata; Actinopteri; Centropomidae
Exons: 5
Source: RefSeq, a predicted model, not a curated record
AAAAACACUUUUAUACACAUCUAACCGUGAGAAAAAGGUAACACUGUCCGCUUCUACUUUGAUGUGUUUCAUUUUAUUGGUUGUCUUAAGCUCUCAGCCCUGUUAUUUUAAAGGUAAAGGGGCGUGGUUAUAAAGCGUAAGAGCGACUACGGACUCAAGCGGAGGUAGCUAUGUCAGCACUGUGGAGAGUGAGUUUGUCCAUAGCUUCGGUUAAUGCCGUUAUAAAGUUGCCACAAGGAUGCCUGAGGAAUUACUGUUAUCUGGUCAAGGGGACCAGGAAACCCUCCUUGGACUGUUGCGGAGCCAGACUGAAAUCCACUCAAUUUUUCCCCGCCAAUCCCCGUCCAUUGUCCAUUGUCCGUCUUUGUCUUGACCAUGCUUCAAGCCCGGAUUUGCUCAGCAUCAGCAGUGCAUUUCACAGCAUGGGGUUAAUGUAGAGGAGGAUAUGUCGCCUGGGGAGGCUGAUGCCUGAUGCCAUCAGGCUGAUUGCUUACACGGGUCAGAGAAGAGAGAGAAUGGAGUUUCAGUGGAGUCGACAGGUUGCCACAUUCCCUCGUGAUAUCUUCAUAUAUGGCUGGAGGGAGAGAGAAUUAAAGGCAUCACAAGAGGCCCCUUUGAAACCUUCCAACUUAGUAUGAAAUCGCUGCGUGCAAGCACUUUGAUCAGGAAACGGUCAAGCGGCAGCCCUGCCGUCUGCCAUCUCUCCACAUUACUAAUGGGAGCCUCAUUCCCAGCACUGCGCUCACCCCACCACCUGACCACUGUUUGAUUUGCUCACUGAACUGAUCUUCAACAAAUAAGCUUUGUGCUUUGCCAUGAAUUACCCCCAUCUCUAUCUGCCAUCACAUGUGCCUUGCAGCACCACUCUCCCUCUUUGCAUGCACCAGGCUGCCCUGCACAUCCAGAGAUAAACAAUGUGGACAGGUGCCAGGGCUGAAAAGUGGCUGAAUUACAUCCCUGAAGACAUGGACCAUCUUGACACAGUCCUCUGCUGUGUAAGACACCCAGAGGGUUUAAUGAAGGUCUGUGACAUGAGGUGAAUCCAUGAGUUAUGAGCACAUUAAUAAGCAUCCACUGUAUCUAUGCACUGAAUUAAGGUGCUUGAAAGAGCAAAGACACAGAACUCAGCAUGACAGACAGGCAAGGAAAUACGCAUAUUUUCCUGUUGGAUUGCCUGUCACAUGAUAUUUGUGAUGCUGAUUGAAAAUUAAAUCUAAUUUAAGGAAGUCUAAGAAAUUAAAGAAAUUAAUA